RNAcentral lists this ribosomal RNA (123 nucleotides) under Dinobryon sp. RNAcentral's name for it is "5.8S ribosomal RNA". It matches the Rfam family "5.8S ribosomal RNA", at positions 1 to 120 of the family's 154-position model. Rfam says of the family: 5.8S ribosomal RNA (5.8S rRNA) is a component of the large subunit of the eukaryotic ribosome. It is transcribed by RNA polymerase I as part of the 45S precursor that also contains 18S and 28S rRNA. The record is from RNAcentral. Lineage: Eukaryota; Chrysophyceae; Chromulinales; Dinobryaceae.
CAAACACUUUCAGCAAUGGAUGUCUUGGCUCCUACAUCGAUGAAGAACGCAGCGAAAUGCGAUACGUCAUGCGAAUUGCAAAACCAGCGAGUCAUCAAAACUUUGAACGCAACUUGCACUUCC